This is a non-coding RNA of Triticum aestivum (bread wheat), 116 nucleotides long. Lineage: Eukaryota; Viridiplantae; Streptophyta; Magnoliopsida; Poales; Poaceae. The record is from Rfam.
AAGGGUAACCUCCGACCCUACCUAGUUCAACUAAAUGAGCUAAAUUUUCAGAAUUUACCCCAUUUCUGAAAACUUAGUUCAUUUGGUUGAACUAAGUAGGGUUGGAGGAUACCCUA